Molecule: transfer RNA, 90 nt
Filed under: Pseudacidobacterium ailaaui
Lineage: Bacteria; Pseudomonadati; Acidobacteriota; Terriglobia; Terriglobales; Acidobacteriaceae
Also listed under: 2 other names
Description: Acidobacterium ailaaui (wood decay metagenome) tRNA-Ser
Rfam family: tRNA
About the family: Transfer RNA (tRNA) molecules are approximately 80 nucleotides in length. Their secondary structure includes four short double-helical elements and three loops (D, anti-codon, and T loops).
Source: RNAcentral
GGAGAGAUGGCCGAGUGGCUGAAGGCGCACGCUUGGAAAGCGUGUAUACGUGAAAGCGUAUCGUGGGUUCGAAUCCCACUCUCUCCGCCA